AACGACUCUCGGCAACGGAUAUCUCGGCUCUCGCAUCGAUGAAGAAACGUAGCGAAAUGCGAUACUUGGUGUGAAUUGCAGAAUCCCGUGAACCAUCGAGUCUUUGAACGCAAGUUGCGCCCGAAGCCAUUAGGCCAGGGCACGUCUGGGCUGGGUGUCACACAACG
Molecule: ribosomal RNA, 167 nt
Filed under: Gilbertiodendron ogoouense
Lineage: Eukaryota; Viridiplantae; Streptophyta; Magnoliopsida; Fabales; Fabaceae
Description: 5.8S ribosomal RNA
Rfam family: 5.8S ribosomal RNA
About the family: 5.8S ribosomal RNA (5.8S rRNA) is a component of the large subunit of the eukaryotic ribosome. It is transcribed by RNA polymerase I as part of the 45S precursor that also contains 18S and 28S rRNA.
Source: RNAcentral